UACGUAGGCAGCAAGCGUUGUUCGGAAUUACUGGGUGUAAAGGGUUCGUAGGCGGUGUGGCAAGUCGGGAGUGAAAUUUCUGGGCUUAACCCAGAAGCUGCUUCCGAAACUGCUGUGCUAGAGUGCGGGAGAGGCGCGUGGAAUUGCAGGUGUAGCGGUGAAAUGCGUAGAUAUCUGCAGGAACACCCGUGGCGAAAGCGGCGCGCUGGACCGUUACUGACGCUGAGGAACGAAAGCUAGGGGAGCAAACAGG
This 253-nucleotide ribosomal RNA is filed under the name uncultured bacterium. RNAcentral describes it as "partial 16S ribosomal RNA". It matches the Rfam family "Bacterial small subunit ribosomal RNA", at positions 524 to 776 of the family's 1533-position model. The record is from RNAcentral.